RNAcentral lists this ribosomal RNA (492 nucleotides) under uncultured bacterium. RNAcentral describes it as "partial 16S ribosomal RNA". It matches the Rfam family "Bacterial small subunit ribosomal RNA", at positions 29 to 507 of the family's 1533-position model. The record is from RNAcentral.
AGUGAACGCUGGCGGUAGGCCUAACACAUGCAAGUCGAACGGCAGCACAGUAAGAGCUUGCUCUUACGGGUGGCGAGUGGCGGACGGGUGAGGAAUACAUCGGAAUCUACUUUUUCGUGGGGGAUAACGUAGGGAAACUUACGCUAAUACCGCAUACUACCUACAGGUGAAAGCAGGGGCUCUUCGGACCUUGCGCGAUUGAAUGAGCCGAUGUCGGAUUAGCUAGUUGGCGGGGUAAAGGCCCACCAAGGCGACGAUCCGUAGCUGGUCUGAGAGGAUGAUCAGCCACACUGGAACUGAGACACGGUCCAGACUCCUACGGGAGGCAGCAGUGGGGAAUAUUGGACAAUGGGCGCAAGCCUGAUCCAGCCAUACCGCGUGGGUGAAGAAGGCCUUCGGGUUGUAAAGCACUUUUGUUGGGAAAGAAAAGCAGCAGGUUAAUACCCCGAUGUACUGACGGUACUCAAAGAAUAAGCACCGGCUAACUUCGUG